Non-coding RNA from Chelonia mydas (Green sea turtle), 118 nucleotides. Lineage: Eukaryota; Metazoa; Chordata; Testudines; Cheloniidae. The record is from Rfam.
AUACUCUGGUUUCUCUUCAGAUUGUAUAAAUCUUUCACCUUUACUAAAGAUUUCUGUGGAGAGGAACAUUUAUGAGUUUAUACAGCACACUGAAAUCUUGUUUAUUUUGAAUGAGAUG